Molecule: non-coding RNA, 100 nt
Organism: Kockovaella imperatae
Lineage: Eukaryota; Fungi; Basidiomycota; Tremellomycetes; Tremellales; Cuniculitremaceae
Source: the annotation of a RefSeq genome assembly
UCGUGCGUAGUAUAAUGGCUAGUAUAUAUCGUUCUCACUUACGUAAUCAAUGAUGCUGAGUUGCCCCGAUAAGAUCCGGGUUCGAUCCCCGGCGCGCGAA